CCUACGGGACGCAGCAGUGGGGAAUAUUGCACAAUGGGCGCAAGCCUGAUGCAGCCAUGCCGCGUGUAUGAGGAAGGCCUUAGGGUUGUAAAGUACUUUCAGUUGGGAGGAAGGCGUUGAUGCUAAUAUCAUCAACGAUUGACGUUGCCAACAGAAGAAGCACCGGCUAACUCCGUGCCAGCAGCCGCGGUAAUACGGAGGGUGCAAGCGUUAAUCGGAAUUACUGGGCGUAAAGCGCACGCAGGCGGUUGAUUAAGUUAGAUGUGAAAUCCCCGGGCUUAACCUGGGAAUGGCAUCUAAGACUGGUGAGCUAGAGUCUUGUAGAGGGGGGUAGAAUUCCAUGUGUAGCGGUGAAAUGCGUAGAGAUGUGGAGGAAUACUGGUGGCGAAGGCGGCCCCCUGGACAAAGACUGACGCUCAGGUGCGAAAGCGUGGGGAGCAAACAGGAUUAGAUACCCCUGUAGUC
Molecule: ribosomal RNA, 465 nt
Filed under: uncultured bacterium
Lineage: Bacteria
Description: bacterial SSU rRNA
Rfam family: Bacterial small subunit ribosomal RNA
Source: RNAcentral